GUCUAUGGCCAUACUACCCUAAACACACUUCAUCUCAUCAGCUCUUGGAAGCUAAGCAAGUUCGGGGCCUGUUUCAUACUCGGAUGGGAAAAUAUACAGGUCCAGGAACACAGGAGGUAGAAA
Molecule: ribosomal RNA, 123 nt
Filed under: Carlito syrichta (Philippine tarsier)
Lineage: Eukaryota; Metazoa; Chordata; Mammalia; Primates; Tarsiidae
Source: RNAcentral